UAUCUCACCUUGGGUAACAUAUGUGAAAUCUAUUCUUUAAAUCGAUCCGCUGACACACAGCCAACCACAGUCAACCCAUCGUCGCCAACUGAGAAACUCUGCAUCAAGCCACACUUUCAGUGACACCUAACAGAGCCCGGAAAGGAAACAGCUGCAGAGAAAGAUCUCGCGGGACCUUCCGUGAUCACGGACACACCACCCCCAGAAUACUGCUUCCAGCAGAGGACGCUUUUGUGACCGAACAGACACGACCUGUGUAGCGCUGACAUGUGGUGGAAAGUUCCUCCUUCACUUGUAGUGGCACACACAGGACAUGGAAGUAUCUGCAGCCAGAAGAGGAGCCCGGAUCAAAGUGUCAUGGCCCAAUGGAAGCCUGUCCACCACUCACUGGUAGGCUCGUUCAUCCACCAUGACUCCCUGAGCACCUAUGACCUGCUGGCCCCGUCUUUAGGAGCCACCCAUGCAAAGAUAAAUACAAGACUCACUGCUGAGCCCUCUCUCAGUCUGGGGAGAGCGAGACGCCGAAAUUCAUAACCAGGAUGCGCUAUGGGAGGAGCCACAGCAGUGUUCUAAAGCAAGUGUCGUUGAUCUCAGUGACAAAUGGGAGUAACCCUGAAGGAGACGGGACAGUCGAGACAACUUUUGAGCUGCUGUAUCUUGAAGGGCUCGUUGGAGUCCCAGUGGAGAAGUGGAGGAGGAACCAGAGUAUUUACCGAACUGCGAACAGUCUCGCCUGGACGGAGCAUAGGAUCUAGGGCAUUGGAUGGAGGAGCUUACGGUAAGAGAUGGAAAGAAAGCUGGAAGGACAGGCUGAAGACAGACUCUGGGUGGCAAUUUCGAUGCCAUGCUGAACGUUGGAGCCAAAUGGAGGAUCUUUGGAGGUUUGUCACUGGGAGAAUACCAUGAUGUACAGAGUGUUUGUUUUAGACACUUUCCCUCGUGGCGAGGGAUUAGCAGGAAGUCAGACUGAGGUUGGACAAGAGUUCUCAGACUAUUAGCUCUUAGUCUGGAGGACGUGUGAGGGAGAGUGCAUGCUCCAGGCUUGAAAGACCAGUCCCAUCAUUGAGAGAAAGCCUACCACCGUCGAAGUAAAUUCCGUGUGGUUCUUAUUCAUUCAGCCAUCCCUCAGUCACUCCAGCAUUUACUCGUCAAGUCUUUACUGAGCACUUACUAUGUGCUAGACACCGGGGCUACAAAACACCCAUAGUUCUACCUUGUUGGAGUUUAGACUAAUGGAGAGGAUGACAACUAUAUCGGUGAUUAUAAUUGGGUUGAAUUCACCGGGACCCAAGUUAAACACAACAUUUAAAGAUCUGCAGUUCAAGGCAUGCUAAAAUAGUGCCCUUCAAUUCUCCUCGGCAUUGCCUGACUUCUAGCCCCUCGUGAUGUGUUGAAUGGAGGAAUGAAUAAAUGCAAAGAGGUGACGUCAUCCCCUCAGACUGGCAUGCCACCUGGGCCUCCUCUGGCUGUGGGGCUCUUGGAUUUUCAUCUCUGUUCGUGGGGAGAGGCAGUCUAACAGAGUGGGUGUUUGGAUGCUGAGAGAGGGAAAACCCACCUAGGUACCAGCUCCUACACCUUCUUAGCUGGGGGGAGUUGAGCAAAUUCCUUAACCUCUUUGAGUCUCAGUUUUCUUAUGUCAAAAAUAGGGAUGAUAAAAUCUCCCUCACAAGGAUAAUGUAUGAAGGACUACCUGUAACGGAUCACAAGGAUUUAGGCGGCAAGAUUAAAUGAAAGGACAUAUUUCAGGGCUAGGAAUAAUGGAACACAGUUAAGGGGUGAGUGUCGUGACUCUGUUGGGUCCACCUGUGUGACCUUCCUACCUACAGAGAACUUGAAUGAGCUUCAGAGUAAAUCCCUGACGAUGCCACUCCUCUACCCAAAACCUUAAAUGACUCCCCGUUGCUUUUUUCCUCGGUAUGACACUUAAGGUUCUCCGUGAUUGAGUCCCAAUCUGUCUUUCCAAUUUCAUGUCCCUCUGCCAACUUGGUGUCACUACAACUGCUCCCAGAGCCUCUGCUCCUUUGGUCUGCUAGGUCAAAGCACAUACACUGUAAAGUACUUAUAUAGUAGCCUGGACCCGUUGCCCUCUCAACCCCUCGCAAAACUCUCUGACUUAACGAUUACUUGGUAGAUU
Molecule: long non-coding RNA, 2134 nt
Organism: Leopardus geoffroyi (Geoffroy's cat)
Lineage: Eukaryota; Metazoa; Chordata; Mammalia; Carnivora; Felidae
Exons: 2
Source: RefSeq, a predicted model, not a curated record